Molecule: long non-coding RNA, 316 nt
Organism: Carassius carassius (crucian carp)
Lineage: Eukaryota; Metazoa; Chordata; Actinopteri; Cypriniformes; Cyprinidae
Exons: 3
Source: RefSeq, a predicted model, not a curated record
AGCUAUGAUUCCCAUUCACAUCCAUCGUAAGACUGACAGACUGCAACGAUUUGUGUUAAACUGAAAAAACAAAGUCACCUACAUCUCAUAUGCCCUGGGGGCUGUAUUUCAGAUCAUCACCAGCAGGGAGCGUCUAUUUCCACAUUACGGAAUGACUGUGGCUUCCUACAACAUUCCUCAAUGAAAAUCUGCUGUGCUGUGGCAGCUUACCUCUCCACACAAUCAGAGAGACGUGAACAAUGGUUUGAAGCUGGUGCAUCGUGUCCUCCGACUGCAUACAAGAAACUGUUAUAUGUGGCCACGCCCACUCCUCCCC